UGUUAGAGAUUUUUGAUAAUUACAACAAGUCAACUGUAGAGUGACACUUAAACUUUUCAAUUUUUCAAUUUUAUUUUUACUUUUUGUUAGUUUUUAUUUUUGAAUUUCAUUUUUAUUUUUUAAUUUUAAGUUAUUUUAUUUUUUAAAUUUAAGUAUUUUAUUUUAUCUCUACUUUUAUAAUGGUAUGUUUGGUGCGAUGCUACUAAGGUAUUGUUUGUUUGUUUAUGCAAGGUAUUGAAUCAACACUUAUACCAAUCGACCCAUAAAUUGAAAGAACAUGUGUAAUUUGUUGGGAAAAAAGAGAGGCAUUGCA
This 313-nucleotide long non-coding RNA is filed under the name Lathyrus oleraceus (garden pea). RNAcentral describes it as "Pisum sativum (pea) long non-coding RNA (PSAT_LNC023722)". The record is from RNAcentral. Lineage: Eukaryota; Viridiplantae; Streptophyta; Magnoliopsida; Fabales; Fabaceae.